UACGGAGGGUGCAAGCGUUAUCCGGAUUCACUGGGUUUAAAGGGUGCGUAGGCGGCAGGUAAGUUAGUGGUGAAAUCUCCGGGCUUAACCCGGAAACUGCCGUUGAUACUAUCUGUCUUGAAUAUCGUGGAGGUAAGCGGAAUAUGUCAUGUAGCGGUGAAAUGCUUAGAUAUGACAUAGAACACCCAUUGCGAAGGCAGCUUACUACACGAUCAUUGACGCUGAGGCACGAAAGCGUGGGGAGCAAACAGG
Molecule: ribosomal RNA, 252 nt
Filed under: uncultured bacterium
Lineage: Bacteria
Description: partial 16S ribosomal RNA
Rfam family: Bacterial small subunit ribosomal RNA
Source: RNAcentral